CACUUUAAUUUAAAAAAAUCACGCGUACCUUGCUUGUUUCCAGCGAAAGCCCGAGAGCGAGAGCCGAGAAUCGAGGGCCCCGGGAAACUAACAUUAUGUGAGGUGGAAUCAUUUCCAAGCGAUGGAAGGCUGUGACGAGGCUUUUGGUACUUGGCAGCACCGGCGAGAAGGCCGUCUCAGAGAAUAACGAGGGAAAGGGAAAAAAAAUGUCGUGCUCGUGUCCGCCUCUCUCUCUCGCUCGAGCUUCUUUGAACUCCAGAAGGAGUUUCAGAAAGGCUUCAAGCAAUCAAGAUCUUGGUCAACCACAUUCAUUUUUUCUAGCUGUUGGAUCCAAGAGAUCUCGCUGGCAAUAUCCUUUUUCAUGCCCACAUAGAUUAUCAAUAAAUCAGAAGCCUGAGCAUGAUUUUGCACUCUCAACGAUCCUGAAAGACAACUCAGCUAUGACCACCGUUGAGGAAGAUGCUGAACAUCUUGGUAUCUUCAAUGUGGAUCCAUCUUUAGAACAAUUUAAAGACCAUUUUGUCUAUAGAUCCAAGAGAUACGUAGAGCAAAAAUCAUUGAUUGAGAAGUAUGAAGGGAGUUUGGAGGAAUUCACUCAAGGUUAUCUGAAGUUUGGAUUCAAUAGAGAACAGGAUGGGAUCGUAUACCGUGAAUGGGCUCCUGCUGCAGAGGAAGCACAACUUAUUGGCGACUUUAAUGGGUGGGAUGGGUCGAACCACAGAAUGGAAAGAAAUGAAUUUGGUGUUUGGACGAUUAAAAUUCCAGACGCUGAUGGGAAGCCAUCCAUUCCUCACAAUUCCAGGGUUAAAUUUCGCUUUAAGCAUGGCAAUGGAAUAUGGGUUGAUAGAAUUCCAGCUUGGAUCAGAUAUACAACUGUUGAUCCUAAUCGAUUUGCAGCUCCAUAUGAUGGAGUUCAUUGGGAUCCACCACCUUCAGAAAGGUAUGUUUUUAAGUACCCUCGCCCUCCGAAACCUGCAGCUCCACGCAUAUACGAGGCUCAUGUCGGGAUGAGUGGUUCAGAACCACGCGUGAGUACAUACAGAGAAUUUGCUGACAAUGUUCUGCCUCGCAUACAAGCAAAUAACUACAAUACAGUUCAGUUGAUGGCUAUUAUGGAACAUUCCUACUAUGCAUCUUUUGGGUAUCAUGUCACAAAUUUUUUCGCUGUUAGCAAUAGAUCAGGAACACCUGAGGACCUCAAGUAUCUGAUUGACAAAGCACACAGUUUAGGUCUGCGUGUUCUGAUGGAUGUUAUCCAUAGCCAUGCAAGCAACAAUGUCACUGAUGGUCUUAAUGGGUUUGAUGUUGGACAGAGUAUUCAAGAAUCUUACUUCCAUACUGGGGAGCGUGGUUACCAUAAGCUGUGGGACAGCCGACUAUUCAACUAUGCUAAUUGGGAAGUCUUGAGGUUCCUUUUAUCUAACCUCAGAUGGUGGUUGGAAGAAUUCCAGUUUGAUGGUUUUCGAUUUGAUGGAGUCACUUCAAUGCUUUAUCAUCAUCAUGGUAUCAACAUGGUAUUCACUGGAAAUUAUAGUGAGUAUUUUAGUGAGGCAACUGAUGUGGAUGGUGUUGUUUAUAUGAUGCUGGCAAAUCACUUGGUUCACAAACUCUUGCCAGAUGCAACUGUAGUUGCUGAAGAUGUUUCAGGGAUGCCAUCUCUAUGUCGGCCAGUUUAUGAAGGUGGAGUGGGUUUUGACUAUCGGUUGGCAAUGGCAAUUCCUGACAAGUGGAUCGACUACUUGAAGAACAAAAAAGAUAUGGAAUGGUCAAUGCAAGAAAUUGUGUGGAGUUUAACCAACCGGAGAUACAGUGAAAUGUGUAUAGCAUAUGCAGAGAGCCAUGAUCAGGCCAUUGUGGGAGACAAGACAAUUGCCUUUUUAUUGAUGGAUAAGGAAAUGUACUCUGGAAUGUCUGAUUUACAACCUGCUUCACCUGUAGUUGAACGAGGGAUUGCACUUCAUAAGAUGAUUCACUUCAUAACCAUGGCACUAGGAGGUGAAGGUUACUUAAAUUUCAUGGGAAAUGAGUUCGGUCAUCCAGAAUGGAUUGACUUUCCAAGAGAAGGCAAUGGUUGGAGUUAUGAUAAGUGCAGACGCCAGUGGAACCUUGUUGACACUGAUCACCUGAGAUACAAGCACUUGAAUGCGUUUGAUAGAGCGAUGAAUUUGCUUGAUGAUAGAUUUUCAUUCCUUGCAUCAACAAAGCAGAUUGUGAGCAGUGUAAAUGAAGAGGACAAGGUAAUUGUUUGUGAACGUGGAGAUUUGGUUUUUGUGUUCAAUUUCCAUCCUGAAAACACCUAUGAUGGGUAUAAAAUUGGGUGUGACUUGCCAGGAAAGUACAGAGUUGCACUGGAUAGUGAUGCUCUUCAAUUUGGUGGACAUGGAAGAGUAAGAUGCCAUUGCCAUACAUGACAAUUUUUUGUUGGUGUACAUUUCUCAGCUCGGAUUAGUACUCGUGGAUCAACAUCAAAUUUCUAACGUUUACACCAAAUAUUGAGUUCCAUUUUACAAAUACUCACUUCUGAGAUCACAUCCGCUUCACCAUUGUUUUGCUGCAAGAACCAUACCGAUGAGACACAUGACUAGGUGUUAGAUGUUGCAUGAUUAGUUUCUCAUUUAUCAUCCUCCAACACUGGCACGUAAGCAGCACGCAUGAGUUACAUUAACUUCAUAGGUUGGUCAUGAUGUGGACCAUUUCACGACCCCCGAAGGCAUACCAGGAGUACCUGAAACAAAUUUUAACAAUCGGCCAAACUCGUUCAAAGUCCUAUCUCCUGCUCGCACUUGUGUGGUGUAUUACAAAGUUGAAGAAAACCCUGAAGAUUUUGAUGAGGAGAUGAUGGAUGCUGAGGAGGCAGUAGCCAGAGAUGAGGAACCUGAGAAGGGGACUUCCAACCAAGCUGCUGAUGAAGUUCUGGUCCCAUUUGGAAUGCCAGAUGAAGAUGAAAUAUAAGGUAUGGGAGAUGCAGAAGCUGAUGGUUGAAGUUAAUAAUCGCGCAGGGUUAUAACUAGUAGUUGAUAACAUGUGGUAAAUGCCAAAAUGACCUCCAAGUUGGUUAAAACAUGUCCAUAUUUGAAUAUUUUAUCAUGUCCAUGAUGGAAAAUUGGAAAUGGCAUUGCUUGGGGUCAGCUUGGUUGUUUUUAUGUUGAAGCUGCAACAAGCAUGUUCUUUUGAUUCUCCUCAACCAUCACAAAGAAGUUGCUUUUGAGCUCAGGCAAGUUAAA
This is a non-coding RNA of Elaeis guineensis (African oil palm), 3224 nucleotides long. The record is from RefSeq and is a predicted model, not a curated record. Lineage: Eukaryota; Viridiplantae; Streptophyta; Magnoliopsida; Arecales; Arecaceae.